This 497-nucleotide ribosomal RNA is filed under the name uncultured bacterium. Its description in RNAcentral is "partial 16S ribosomal RNA". It matches the Rfam family "Bacterial small subunit ribosomal RNA", at positions 28 to 507 of the family's 1533-position model. The record is from RNAcentral.
GAUGAACGCUGGCGGCGUGCCUAAUACAUGCAAGUCGAGCGAGCGGACGAGAAGCUUGCUUCUCUGAUGUUAGCGGCGGACGGGUGAGUAACACGUGGAUAACCUACCUAUAAGACUGGGAUAACUUCGGGAAACCGGAGCUAAUACCGGAUGAUAUUUUGAACCGCAUGGUUCAAAAGUGAAAGACGGUCUUGCUGUCACUUAUAGAUGGAUCCGCGCUGCAUUAGCUAGUUGGUAAGGUAACGGCUUAACAAGGCAACGAUGCAUAGCCGACCUGAGAGGGUGAUCGGCCACACUGGAACUGAGACACGGUCCAGACUCCUACGGGAGGCAGCAGUAGGGAAUCUUCCGCAAUGGGCGAAAGCCUGACGGAGCAACGCCGCGUGAGUGAUGAAGGUCUUCGGAUCGUAAAACUCUGUUAUUAGGGAAGAACAUAUGUGUAAGUAACUGUGCACAUCUUGACGGUACCUAAUCAGAAAGCCACGGCUAACUACGUG